AGUGAACGCUGGCGGUAGGCCUAACACAUGCAAGUCGAACGGCAGCACAGUAAGAGCUUGCUCUUACGGGUGGCGAGUGGCGGACGGGUGAGGAAUACAUCGGAAUCUACUUUUUCGUGGGGGAUAACGUAGGGAAACUUACGCUAAUACCGCAUACGACCUACGGGUGAAAGCAGGGGAUCUUCGGACCUUGCGCGAUUGAAUGAGCCGAUGUCGGAUUAGCUAGUUGGCGGGGUAAAGGCCCACCAAGGCGACGAUCCGUAGCUGGUCUGAGAGGAUGAUCAGCCACACUGGAACUGAGACACGGUCCAGACUCCUACGGGAGGCAGCAGUGGGGAAUAUUGGACAAUGGGCGCAAGCCUGAUCCAGCCAUACCGCGUGGGUGAAGAAGGCCCUCGGGUUGUAAAGCCCUUUUGUUGGGAAAGAAAAGCAGCAGGUUAAUACCCCGCUGUUCUGACGGUACCCAAAGAAUAAACACCGGCUAACUUCGU
Molecule: ribosomal RNA, 491 nt
Filed under: uncultured bacterium
Lineage: Bacteria
Description: partial 16S ribosomal RNA
Rfam family: Bacterial small subunit ribosomal RNA
Source: RNAcentral